RNAcentral lists this ribosomal RNA (552 nucleotides) under uncultured ciliate. RNAcentral's name for it is "SSU rRNA". It matches the Rfam family "Eukaryotic small subunit ribosomal RNA", at positions 4 to 565 of the family's 1831-position model. The record is from RNAcentral. Lineage: Eukaryota; Ciliophora.
CUGGUUGAUCCUGCCAGUAGUCAUAUGCUUGUCUCAAAGACUAGGCCAUGCACGUCUAAGUAUAAAUGUUAUACAGUGAAACUGCGAAUGGCUCAUUAAAACAGUUAUAGUUUAUUUGAUAAUCGAAUUUACAUGGAUAACCGUGGUAAUUCUAGAGCUAAUACAUGCUGGUUAGCCUGACUUCGAGGAAGGGCUGUAUUUAUUAGAUAACAAACCAAUAUUCUUCGUGUCUAUUGUGAUGACUCAUAAUAACUGAUCGAAUCGCAUGGUCCUUGACCGCGAUAAAUCAUUCAAGUUUCUGCCCCAUCAGCUUUCGAUGGUAGUGUAUUGGACUACCAUGGCUUUAACGGGUAACGGAGGAUUAGGGUUCGAUUCCGGAGAGGGAGCCUGAGAAACGGCUACCACAUCUAAGGAAGGCAGCAGGCGCGUAAAUUACCCAAUCCUGACUCAGGGAGGUAGUGACAAGAAAUAACGGACCGAGGCUUUGCUUCGGGAUUGCAAUGAGUAGAAUUUAAACCCCUUUACGAGGAUCCAUUGGAGGGCAAGUCUGGU